GCCGAUAUGGCUCAGUCGGUAGAGCACUCCCUUGGUAAGGGAGAGGUCACCAGUUCGAAUCUGGUUAUCGGCACCA
Molecule: transfer RNA, 76 nt
Filed under: Gammaproteobacteria bacterium
Lineage: Bacteria; Pseudomonadati; Pseudomonadota; Gammaproteobacteria
Also listed under: 6 other names
Description: tRNA-Thr
Rfam family: tRNA
About the family: Transfer RNA (tRNA) molecules are approximately 80 nucleotides in length. Their secondary structure includes four short double-helical elements and three loops (D, anti-codon, and T loops).
Source: RNAcentral